Molecule: ribosomal RNA, 482 nt
Filed under: uncultured bacterium
Lineage: Bacteria
Description: partial 16S ribosomal RNA
Rfam family: Bacterial small subunit ribosomal RNA
Source: RNAcentral
AUUGAACGCUGGCGGCAUGCUUUACACAUGCAAGUCGAACGGUAACAGGCCGCAAGGUGCUGACGAGUGGCGAACGGGUGAGUAAUGCAUCGGAACGUGCCCAGUCGUGGGGGAUAACUACUCGAAAGAGUAGCUAAUACCGCAUACGAUCUAUGGAUGAAAGCGGGGGACCGUAAGGCAUCGCGCGAUUGGAGCGGGCGAUGUCGGAUUAGGUAGUUGGUGGGGUAAAGGCUCACCAAGCCAACGAUCGGUAGCUGGUCUGAGCGGACGACCGGCCACACUGGGAGUUAGACACGGCCCAGACUCCUGCGGGAGGCAGCAGUGGGGAAUGUUGGACAAUGGGCGCAAGCCUGAUCCAGCAAUGCCGCGUGCAGGAAGAAGGCCUUCGGGUUGUAAACUGCUUUUGUACGGAACGAAACGGCUCUGGUUAAUACCCGGGGCUAAUGACGGUACCGGAAGAAUAAGCACCGGCUAACUACGUG